CGUGUAGGCGGCCAAACAGGUCCGUUGUGAAAACUGGAGGCUCAACCUCCAGACGUCGACGGAAACCGUAUGGCUAGAGUCCGGAAGAGGAGAGUGGAAUUCCUGGUGUAGCGGUGAAAUGCGCAGAUAUCAGGAAGAACACCUAUGGCGAAGGCAGCUCUCUGGGACGGUACUGACGCUGAAACGCGAAAGCGUGGGGAGCGAACA
RNAcentral lists this ribosomal RNA (207 nucleotides) under uncultured bacterium. Its description in RNAcentral is "partial 16S ribosomal RNA". It matches the Rfam family "Bacterial small subunit ribosomal RNA", at positions 568 to 774 of the family's 1533-position model. The record is from RNAcentral.